GGCCCUCGCGCAACGCUGAAGAGGGCCGCGAGUACGGGUCC
Molecule: unclassified non-coding RNA, 41 nt
Filed under: Sorangium cellulosum So ce56
Lineage: Bacteria; Pseudomonadati; Myxococcota; Polyangiales; Polyangiaceae
Description: sce_s2m_56
Source: RNAcentral